GGACGGCCCGCCAGAGGACCCAAACUCUAAUGUUUCUUAUUGUAACUUCUGAGUAAAACAAACAAAUAAAUCAAAACUUUCAACAACGGAUCUCUUGGUUCUGGCAUCGAUGAAGAACGCAGCAAAAUGCGAUAAGUAAUGUGAAUUGCAGAAUUCAGUGAAUCAUCGAAUCUUUGAACGCACAUUGCGCCCGCUGGUAUUCCGGCGGGCAUGCCUGUUCGAGCGUCAUUUCAACCCUCAAGCCCCCGGGUUUGGUGUUGGGGAUCGGCUCUGCCCUUCUGGGCGGUGCCGCCCCCGAAAUACAUUGGCGGUCUCGCUGCAGCCUCCAUUGCGUAGUAGCUAACACCUCGCAACUGGAACGCGGCGCGGCCAUGCCGUAAAACCCCAACUUCUGAAUGUUGACCUCGGAUCAGGUAGGAAUACCCGCUGAACUUAAGCAUAUCAAUAA
This 448-nucleotide ribosomal RNA is filed under the name Fusarium sp. CJL-2014. Its description in RNAcentral is "eukaryotic LSU rRNA". The stretch from base 75 to 228 matches the Rfam family "5.8S ribosomal RNA". The record is from RNAcentral. Lineage: Eukaryota; Fungi; Ascomycota; Sordariomycetes; Hypocreales; Nectriaceae.